Molecule: ribosomal RNA, 326 nt
Filed under: uncultured eukaryote
Lineage: Eukaryota
Description: partial 18S ribosomal RNA
Rfam family: Eukaryotic small subunit ribosomal RNA
Source: RNAcentral
CCCUUAGAUGUUCUGGGCCGCACGCGCGCUACACUGAUGCAUUCAACAAGCGUAGCCUUGACCGAGAGGUCCGGGUAAUCUUUGAAACUGCAUCGUGAUGGGGCUAGAUUAUUGCAAUUAUUAAUCUUCAACGAGGAAUGCCUAGUAAGCGUGAUUCAUCAAAUCGCGUUGAUUACGUCCCUGCCCUUUGUACACACCGCCCGUCGCUCCUACCGAUUGAAUGUGUUGGUGAGGAGCUCGGAUUGGCAGCAGUUGGUGGUUCGCCACCGGCUAUUGCUGAGAAGUCCUCCAAACCGCCCCAUUUAGAGGAAGGAGAAGUCGUAACA